Long non-coding RNA from Musa acuminata AAA Group (dessert banana), 810 nucleotides. RefSeq lists it as uncharacterized. The record is from RefSeq and is a predicted model, not a curated record. The transcript is spliced from 2 exons. Lineage: Eukaryota; Viridiplantae; Streptophyta; Magnoliopsida; Zingiberales; Musaceae.
GUUUCUAAUUGUCACGGCUCCGCUUCCCCUUCCUCUUCCAUCGACGACGACGGCGACGACAACCUCAUCAAGAAGAAGAGAAACUCGCGGCCCAAUAAGCCCUCCGCUGCGCCUUUCUCGGCCACAUCUCCUCCUACUUCAUCUAUCCGAUGCCAGCAAACUCAUCGUCGCCUUCGUCCGCAGCUGGCCCCCAUCGGACCAUCACCGUCUUCCCCUGCAGCCCCUCUGGGGUCAACCUAUGCGCAUCUGGAUCCAUGAACCUCGCUGCGGGCCGGGCCCAAGAUGAUCGGGGUCCUCGAGGUCGUCGUCGGGGGUUUCUCCUUCGGAGUACCUGGUUCACGCCUUGUCUAGAUGGAUGCUAUGGUUGUCAGUGAAGCUAUCCGUCAUGAGUUGCAAAUCGACGAAGUGGAUGGGACGAGAUCAGUUAUUGCUAACCUUGAAGGAGUCAUAUUUGAGAUAACCCUGAAGCGAGAUUAAGAUUAUGUUAACAAGUACAUCUUCUUUGUCUAUUUAGAAUAAAAAAGAUAGUUAAAUUAUGACGUCAUAUUUCUUGAGUUGUAUUGUCAUAGAUUUAAAACUGGAGAUGCGGGGUAUCGAUCCCCGUACCUCUCGCAUGCUAAGCAAGCGCUCUACCAUCUGAGCUACAUCCCCAUAGAUGAUUUUAUUUAGGAAAGAGAGAAUAUAGUUAAGUAGAUGAUUUUAUUUAUAUUAAUUUGGUCAUUUGUAGAUUUGAAUUUCAAAGUGAAACAGAAAUCAACUCCAUCGAUAUUGUAUCAGUAUAGUUUUUAUAUGACAAAUUACAAUUCUUAA